Molecule: ribosomal RNA, 253 nt
Filed under: uncultured bacterium
Lineage: Bacteria
Description: partial 16S ribosomal RNA
Rfam family: Bacterial small subunit ribosomal RNA
Source: RNAcentral
UACAGAGAUGGCAAGCGUUGUUCGGAAUCACUGGGCUUAAAGCGCGUGUAGGCGGAGCGAUAGGCGCCUUGUGAAAUCCCUCGGCUCAACCGAGGAACUGCUUGGCGAACCGGCGCUCUUGAGGCAGGUAGAGGUAACUGGAACCAUAGGUGGAGCGGUGAAAUGCGUAGAGAUCUAUGGGAACGCCGGUGGCGAAAGCGAGUUACUGGGCCUGUUCUGACGCUGAGACGCGAAAGCGUGGGUAGCAAACAGG